This 293-nucleotide ribosomal RNA is filed under the name uncultured bacterium. RNAcentral's name for it is "partial 16S ribosomal RNA". It matches the Rfam family "Archaeal small subunit ribosomal RNA", at positions 455 to 747 of the family's 1478-position model. The record is from RNAcentral.
GUGCCAGCCGCCGCGGUAAUACCGGCAGCCCGAGUGAUGGCCGAUCUUAUUGGGCCUAAAGCGUCCGUAGCUGGCCGAACAAGUCCGUCGGGAAAUCCACGUGCUUAACGCGUGGGCGACCGGCGGAAACUGUCCGGCUUGGGGCCGGAGGACCCGAGGGGUACGUCCGGGGUAGGAGUGAAAUCCCAUAAUCCCGCACGGACCACCGAUGGCGAAAGCACUUCGAGAAAACGGAUCCGACAGUGAGGGACGAAAGCUGGGAUCUCGAACCGGAUUAGAAACCCGUGUAGUCC